RNAcentral lists this long non-coding RNA (928 nucleotides) under Malus domestica (apple). Its description in RNAcentral is "long non-coding RNA (MDOM_LNC010293)". The record is from RNAcentral. Lineage: Eukaryota; Viridiplantae; Streptophyta; Magnoliopsida; Rosales; Rosaceae.
GGCCCUUGAAGAAAGCACCAUCGUUCAUCAUCCGUUCAUCCAAGAUCAAGCCCCAACGGCCUUUUGGAUCAACAACUUCGACAAAUCCACACAUCCAACCGAUCUUCAAGAUUAAGCCCAAAAACCCUUGAAGAUCCGUUCAUCACUGUUCUUCAAGAUCAAGCCCAAAAGCCCUUGAAGACCCGUUCAUCACCGUUAUUCAAGAUCAACCCUUAACGGCCCUUGAAGAAACACUCAUCCUUAACAUCAAGCCCCAACGGCUCCUUGAAGAUUCGCUCAAAUCCACCUUCAAAGAUCAAGCCCACGACCCCUUGAAGAAACUUCCAACAGUUCAUCCAAGAUCAAGCCUCGACGGCCCUUGGAUCAACGAAACAUCCACAAAUCAAUACCUUACGGAGAUCGAAUCAGAGGAUCAAAUUUAAGAGAGAUUGUAACCCAAAAUCAUCAAACACAAAUAUUAUUUUGUGCACGUUGUUCUUGUCUCAUUCGUUUCAGGAAAUUUUCGUGUUCACAAGUGUAGUCAAUGUCGUAUCGUUAAGUUUCAUAGAUAGUGUAGUACCGUUAAGUUUCAUAAACAAUUUUGUGAGGACGCACGCUUUAGAAUUUAAAAUUUUUUUUUUAAUAUUAAAAUUAUGUCCUUUUUAAAAUUUAAAUUCUUUUGUCAUUUUUAUUAAAACUUAAGAGUUUUUCAUUAAAAUUUAAGUCUUUUUCAUUAAACAAAGUUAUGGCAUAGUUUUUAUUAAAAUAUACUUAACCCAAGUCAUUUUCAUGAAAGUUCACUUAAAUUUUAGUCUGAGAUUAUUAAAUAAUGAUUUUAGCCUAAUUUAUUUUUUUCGGUAACCUUUUUAAAAAAAAUUAACUUAUAUAAAUUAUACUAAUUUAUUUUUAUGAACAUUUUAACCUAAAAAUAUUUGAAUUUUGAUAAAUA